GAUGAAGAACGCAGCGAAAUGCGAUACGUAAUGUGAAUUGCAGAAUUCAGUGAAUCAUCGAAUCUUUGAACGCAUAUUGCGCUCUCUGGUAUUCCGGAGAGCAUGCUUGUUUGAGUAUCAGUAAACACCUCAGCUUCCAUAUCUUUUUUGAAAUGGGAGUUGGACUUGAGUGAUCCCAACGCUUUUCCUCACCGAAAAGUGGCGGGUUACUUGAAAUGCAGGUGCAGCUGGACUUUUCUCUGAGCUAUAAGCAUAUCUAUUUAGUCUGCCUAAAAAACAGAUUAUUACCUUUGCUGCAGCUAACAUAAAGGAGAUUAGUUCUUGUGCUGACUGAUGCAGGAUUCACAAAGACAGGCUUCGGCCGACUUUGUAAACUCGAUCUCAAAUCAAGUAAGACUACCCGCUGAACUUAAGCAUAUCAAUAAGCGGAGGA
Molecule: unclassified non-coding RNA, 433 nt
Filed under: soil metagenome
Description: partial contains 5.8S ribosomal RNA, internal transcribed spacer 2, and large subunit ribosomal RNA
Rfam family: 5.8S ribosomal RNA (bases 1-120)
Source: RNAcentral